RNAcentral lists this unclassified non-coding RNA (336 nucleotides) under Hevea brasiliensis (rubber tree). Lineage: Eukaryota; Viridiplantae; Streptophyta; Magnoliopsida; Malpighiales; Euphorbiaceae. The record is from RNAcentral.
GUGCCUUUCAAUUUGGUAGCUUGUAUCUAUGAUCUUCGUCGUGUUCAUUGCUUUUAAUUUUCUGUUUGGACUGAUAUAAUGUUAUUUGCCUAAUACUAUAUAAGUACAACUAUCUUUUGUUUUGCUGUGAUGCAUAUAAUUAUUUUUGAUUAGGCAAAUAGAACUCUGAAAUAUGCAAAAAAGAGGAAAGGGUUGAGAAAAAAAGGGGGUGAGGUGUGCUUGUUUGAUUUAAAUUAGGGGUUAGAAUUUGGUAAUAUGCUCAAGAUUAGGUCUCUGAGAUAAUAUGGGCAGAAUUUAAUAAUCAUUUCUUUGGACUUGAAAUUUACAUUGUUUUGC